This 153-nucleotide ribosomal RNA is filed under the name uncultured eukaryote. RNAcentral's name for it is "partial 18S ribosomal RNA". It matches the Rfam family "Eukaryotic small subunit ribosomal RNA", at positions 1299 to 1458 of the family's 1831-position model. The record is from RNAcentral.
UGGUGGAGUGAUUUGUCUGGUUAAUUCCGUUAACGAACGAGACCUUAACCUAUUAAAUAGUUACACGAACCUGGAUUUAUCCAUUUGUUCGUGGAUAACUUCUUAGAGGGACUCUUCACGUAAAGAGUGAAUGGAAGUUUGAGGCAAAAACAA